AAUUGCAGAAUCCCGUGAACCAUCGAGUCUUUGAACGCAAGUUGCGCCCGAAGCCUUCGGGCCGAGGGCACGCCUGCCUGGGCGUCACGC
This 90-nucleotide ribosomal RNA is filed under the name Strobilanthes cusia. RNAcentral's name for it is "partial 5.8S ribosomal RNA". It matches the Rfam family "5.8S ribosomal RNA", at positions 70 to 154 of the family's 154-position model. Rfam says of the family: 5.8S ribosomal RNA (5.8S rRNA) is a component of the large subunit of the eukaryotic ribosome. Lineage: Eukaryota; Viridiplantae; Streptophyta; Magnoliopsida; Lamiales; Acanthaceae. The record is from RNAcentral. RNAcentral also lists the same sequence under 1 other name.